GGCGAAUUAGCUCAGUGGUUAGAGCAGCGGAAUCAUAAUCCGAAGGUCCUAGGUUCAAAUCCCAGAUUCGCCACCA
RNAcentral lists this transfer RNA (76 nucleotides) under Pseudomonadota bacterium. RNAcentral's name for it is "Proteobacteria bacterium tRNA-Met". It matches the Rfam family "tRNA". From Rfam's summary of the family: Transfer RNA (tRNA) molecules are approximately 80 nucleotides in length. Lineage: Bacteria; Pseudomonadati; Pseudomonadota. The record is from RNAcentral.